GUAGGUGGCAAGCGUUGUCCGGAAUUAUUGGGCGUAAAGCGCGCGCAGGCGGUUCUUUAAGUCUGAUGUGAAAGCCCACGGCUCAACCGUGGAGGGUCAUUGGAAACUGGAGAACUUGAGUACAGGAGAGGAAAGCGGAAUUCCACGUGUAGCGGUGAAAUGCGUAGAGAUGUGGAGGAACACCAGUGGCGGAGGCGGCUUUCUGGUCUGUAACUGACGCUGAGGCGCGAAAGCGUGGGGAGCAAACAGGGAUUAGAUACCCUGGUAGUCCACGCCGUGAACGAUGAGUGCUAAGUGUUAGGGGGUUUCCGCCCCCCUUAGUGCUGCAGCUAACGCACUAAGCACUCCGCCUGGGAGUACGGCCGCUAGGCUG
This 373-nucleotide ribosomal RNA is filed under the name uncultured organism. RNAcentral describes it as "partial 16S ribosomal RNA". It matches the Rfam family "Bacterial small subunit ribosomal RNA", at positions 527 to 896 of the family's 1533-position model. The record is from RNAcentral.